This 41892-nucleotide long non-coding RNA is filed under the name Vitis vinifera (wine grape). RNAcentral's name for it is "long non-coding RNA (VVIN_LNC003817)". The record is from RNAcentral. Lineage: Eukaryota; Viridiplantae; Streptophyta; Magnoliopsida; Vitales; Vitaceae.
AUCAUCGGACCAAAACGGAAACUUGAUGAUGAAGAUUGUGAUUGAGAAUCGGGGGUCUCGCUGAGUAAGCAGCUUCGCAAUCUCCACGGUGGCCGCAAGGUGGCCGAUCCCAGGAGAUGGGAUGAAGACAAGCUCUGUUUGCUUCAUCACCAACCAGCGAUUACUGCAAAGAGAGAAAAAUAUUGGAUGUGUUGAGGGCUUUGUGGUGGGAUGAGGCUGAACGUGUUAUAAACGACCUUUCAAUAGUCUUGGCGGGCGAGGAACUGACGUCAUAGCUUUGCUGGUUCAGUCUAUUUUCUUCUACCUGUCGUUUUUGUAUGAUUUGUGGUUGGCCUUUAUUGAAGCUCGAGGCAACAAUUGAUGGUUUCAAGAUUUCUGUCAUUUUAGUAUAAAACAAACAAUUAAAUAUAUGAUUCAUUUCCCCUCGAGGAAGGGUCCAAAUAGGUAGGCUACACUUUUCACAUUAAUGUUGGAAUAUGUGCCCAUAAACAAAUGAGAUGUUUUGUAUUUUGCUUAUUAUUAAUAUUUUUUUAAGGAAUUAUUUCAAUAUUAUUGUUGCAGGCAUGUUAUAGAUGCUUUAUAAAUAUCGAAAACCCUAGAUUAUUUAAUUGUAACUUUAAAUAUUGUAUAUAAGUGUUAUAUACAAGAGGAUAAUAUUUAAAGUAAAAUAAUCUAAUAUGUUCGUAAUUAAAAAUUAAAGUUGGGAUCUUUAAUUUAAAAUUACUAGCACAGUUCAUUACAUUCUGAAUGAAAUGAUCUUAUCCGGAUUAUUAAUAAUGAGAUUAUUAGAAUGAAAGCGUUUUAUAUAAUUUGAUUAUAUAGGACUGGAACACGGAAUCUCUAAUAAAUUCCGUUAUAAUAUAGAGCAUUCAAUAUUAAUCAAUGAUGGUCAUAUAUGCAUUGAUCUUAAUUCUGAGUGAUUAAUAGACUCCUAUUUAUUGUAUUGUAUUUUUUGACAUAUUGGGUAAUGACACAAAUACAUAGUGUCAAAUUCUUGGUGUAUUGGAAGUAUAAUAAAAUAAAUAGCCGGGAAUAUUAAUAUACAAGAUGAAAUCCAUUCCUUCGUUAAGAAGUCAGAUGGACGGUUCCCAUAAGUAUUGGUUCGGGCCUUGAAUGAUAAGAGCGCUCUAUUUAUGAUUAGACCAUAAAUAUAUUAUUCAUUAGAGAACCAAUGGCACUUAAGGAAAAAGAUAUAAUUAAAGAGGUUAACGGAAAAACCUAGCUUUAAUUAUGAACCGUUUAUGGAGGAUUGACUCAUAUGUAGUGACUAUAUCAAUGGGCAAUUCAAAUCCUUUGAAUAUAUUUAAUUUUAUAAUUUAAAGAGUGCAUUUCCAAAUUUUUAGUGGAGUAAUUUUGGAAUUAAUAAUUUUGAUUUUUUAAUUAAGUUGUUAAUUAAUUGUCAAAAUUAUUGGAGCUUAAAAUUAUAAUGUCUAUAGUUCCUCUCAACGGCUCCAUUAAAAUUAUAUGAACAUUUUUUUAUGUUGGGUUGAUUUUAUUAGUUUGGAAUUUUGAAUUCUAAAUUAAUUUCACACAAUCUUGAUUUGAUUAAUUUAUUUUAUAAUUUGAUUAUUUAAAAUAUUUUUUGAUACAAUGUGGUGAAGAACACACUUACUUGUAUUCCCUAAGAAACACUUUUUAAGUGGGGAUCAUGGGGAGAGAUAUUCUCUCCCAUGUUUUUCAAAAUUCAAAAUAAGUCAGUUAUUUUUUUUCUUCGUAGUAUUAAAAAGUUUUUUUUUCUCAAUGUUUUUCGCAUGAUGGGAUGAGAAUACAAGUUUUCAAUAUAUUAAGUUGUGUGAUAAAAAAAAACCCAAAAAAAAAAAAUGAUAAACGCCCACUCGUUUUGAGUUCAUCAUUUUUUGGAGAACGUUAGAGAAAGAUUCAUGGUGCUUUAGAGGAUUUGGAAUUCUAAGAUCCUUUUGGUGGAGUUCAAAUUUAUCAGCCUAAUCGCAAGGUACAAUUCUAAAUUACCUAUAUUUGUUAUUUCAUUAAAUUAAUACAAGUAUUGAUCAUUGGGAAAAUUUUUUUGAGAAACUACCUAGCCAUUUAAGUUACAACUAAAUUACUCAUAUCAUAACACCAUUUUAUCGUUUUUAAUUUCAAACUCAAAAUGUGUUUAUGCCUAAGCUUCAAAUUUUGUGUUUUCAACUUGACUAUGUUAGUAUAAGACUCAUUGUAGAAAAGUAGCCUCAAAUUAUUAAUCUUAGGAACAAAAUUGUCAACCCAUUGUAAUACACUAAUAAAGUUAAUACCAUAUAAAAAGAUAAUUCAUACUAGAAAAAAGUAAGAAUUUUAGAAAAUUCUAUAUUACUAAAUCAAUGCCUAGUAAAAUUCAAAUCUAGAUCAUUUAAAGUGUUUAAUAAAAUUGUUGGAUAAAGGUACAGAUAUAUGAAAUCAUAUUAUAAAUAAAUGGGACCAAGACAUAAGAUAAUAAAACCAAAGUAGAAAGCAAUAAGAUUAAAGUAUAAUGCAAUAGGACCACAUAAGAGAUACCAAGUAUCAUAUCAAAGUCUAGGUUGAAGGUUUAUGCAAAAGGUGAGUGGUUCUACAUUCUUUAAUUUUAACAUACAACAAGCACUAAAAAUAUUAUUUAUAUUCCCUCGAGAAAGAGAUAGAAUAGGUUACACUUUUCCCAUGUUUAGGCCAAACUUUGUAAAACUAAUCUCUAUUGGUUUAAAGUUGUAAUUAAAAUUUUAAAUGAAUAAAAAUGUCCUAAUUUUUGAAAAAUGUGUAUUAAUGUGAAUGAAUGUAAAAAGUUCCAUGAAUAAUACUUCUAUUAAAAAAGAUUGUAUUUUUUUUAUUUUAAAAAGUGAAGGGCACUUUUCCAAAUUAGAGAUUAUUUUGAAAAUAAAUUGAUUAAAUUCUUGCUAUUUUUUUUUUCAAAAAUAAAAAAUGUAGUCAACUACUAGUUUAAUUUUGUAGAAAAUUAACCUUGAGCAAACUCUUUGGGUCACAUUAUUUUGUCAUUUAUUUGCUAACAUAAUUAUAAAGGAAGCUAGGUUCGGAGAGAUUGAGCAAGCAUUAUGUAAGUUGCAAGGCCGGAGUGUAAGGGCAUAUUAAAUCAUUUUUCUUGAAUGUUCUUAUUUAUGUGAAAGAAUUGUAUACCCUUAUGCAAUAGACAAUAAUUUUUUUAUGCAUUUCAUGAUUACAAAGUAUAUAUGUCACAAUUGAUGAUAUUUUCCCUUAUAUUUAUAUUGUAUAAAAAUAAGAUUACUAAUUAUAAGAUAUGAUUUUUGAUUUCCUUAUAAUCUUAAAAUAUGUUCACAACCUAUAAACUUCUCAUAGACAAUAUAUUUAUUAAAAGUUGUCAUGACUUGUACUAAUGUAUCUAAUAGAGUAAUGAAUCUCAAUCACUAAAGUGGAGACUUUUAAUAAACUUCACAGGUGAUUGUAUGAUAAUAAUCACAGAACUAGACAAUUGCUGAACAACUCUCGGAUCUCUUCUAGUCAUGUUAGGAUUGAUUUUUUUUUUUUAAUAUUACAUAAAAUUCUUUGAAUUAAGGGUCAAUGUUAUUGAGUUUUAUAUUUGAAUUUAUAUAACUUUCAUAUUUUCAAUUAUUAAUGUUUAAUAGCAAACUAAAUAUAGACAUUUUGGGCUUUCAUUUUGAAGUUUUAGACAUAUUAUAUAUAUAUAUAUAUAUGUGUGUGUGUGUAUUAGUGGGAGGGCAUAUUCAAGAUUGUGUCACUUAUAAAUUGGAUUGAAAUACUAACCAGUCAAUUUAGAAAGAAUUUUUACAAGGUUUAUAUAUUUAUAUAAUAUGUUGUGUAUUAGGAAUUUCUAAAUUGUUUCUCGAAGGUCUAAUUAUAAGAGGUGACAUGCUUGCAAGGUUUGGUAAUGAUAAUCAUCUUGGUCCAACCCAAUAAAGUUAUAAGGAAUAUUUGUUAAUAGAAUGAUUAACAUGUAAUUAGGGAACUCACUAAUAUAUCUAUUAUUCAUUGGUGAAAUUAUAAUUUGUUUAAAUAUAAUUGCAAUUAACAAAGUUAUUUGGACUGUAUACUAGGGAUAAAAAGAUCCCACAAAGGUCUCAUAUGACAUGUCCUCACCUGGAUUAUUGAGAAGAGACAAUUAGCUUUAAAAUAUGAAGAUUUCAUAACAAACAGGGUUUAAAAAUUUCGAAAAAAAACCAGUUAUCAAUGUUGGCCCAAACGAAAUUGGCCACCGAUAAUUGGUCGGACAAAAAGUCACCCAAUAAUGGGCGAUUUUGGCAUAUUUCAAUGAAUUCCCAAAUUUUGACCAAAAAUAUCACAACUGGAGAGCACAUGUAAGUGGGGAACAACACAGCAAAAAAUCACCAAAAAAUCGGUGUUUUUAAAAAAAAAUUGCCAAAUUUUUCAAAGGCCUAUUUAUUUAUUUAUUUAUUUUAAAAAAAACAAUGUAUUGAUGUUUUUUCAAUUAUUUUUUCCAAUUUAUCUUUAAUUUUAAAUUUAUAUCAGCCUUUUAUUUUAUAUUAUCCUUUUAUUUUUAAUUAUAUUUCGUAUUUGUCUCAUUAAUCCUAUUUUAAAAAAUUAUUAUCACUUCACUUUAAUUUUUUUGUUUUUAUCCUUCUAAUUUUAUUUAAUUUUAAAUGUUUUUAUUUCAAAAUAUUAAAAAUAUAAAUUUAUUCAAAAAUUGCUAAAAUAUAAAAAAACUAAUGAAGUUCUAAAAUUUGAUAAAUUAAAAUAAAUUUAAUAAAAUAAAUUACUAAUAUCAUUUUUAAUUAUUUUAGUUAUUUAAAUAAAUUAAUGUUAAUAGCAAAGAAAUUGUCACCACAAAUUUGUAACAAAAUUUUAGAAAUUAAAUCUCAAAUAAAAUAUUUUAUGUAAAUUGAUUUAAUUUUUUAUUUAAAAUGUAAUAAAACAUGUUUUAAUAAAAGUAGUUUUUAAUUUUUAAAAUAAAUGAAUACAAAUAUUUUUAAAGGAAUUUAAGUUAAUAUUUUCUUACAGAAUUGAUAAACAUUAUCUUUGAUUUUAUAUACGUCAAUUACACUUAUAAAAUAACUUUAAUACGUGUGUUUUUGCUUAUUUUAUUAUUUUUUAAAAGAUUUUCUAAGCAUUUUAAUGAAUUUUUAAUAAUUUUUGCUCCAUCAAUAUUUUUUUCAAAAUAUCCAUCAUUAUUUUACUAAUAUUUUCGAUAUAUUCGUAAAAUCUAAGUAUUCGAUAUAUCUGUAUUUAUUGACAUUUCAAACCUUGACAACAAAUAAAUAAGUGAAUUAAUCAUAGAUAUUUACUUUAUAAGUUAAAAUAUUAUAAGUAACAAUGGAUUAUAAAGUUACAGAAGGUUUUAAAUUUAUAACAAAUUAAUGUAAUGUUACAAAGAAAUUGUAAAGUCUAUAAACUCCAAAAUUGGUCUUAGGAUCUUUUUAUCCAAAAAUUUUAGGCCCAUUUUUAGUGGGUGUUUGGUAAAUUAACUUAAUAACUUAAAAGUGAUUUAAUAACUUAAUUUAAGUCAUUAAGAAAAUUAAGUAUGUUUGGUAAAAUAACUUAAUGAUAUGACUUAAAGUAAAUAACAACUAACUUAUUCUUAAGUUCAAAUAUUUAUUUUACCUUUUUUUUAAUCUCCAUUUACCUAAAUUACCUCCGCGAUCUCCUUUGCUACUCCAUGACCUCCAUUAUUACUUGACUUUUUUUGCCCUAAUUAUAAUUUAUGAGAAUAAAUAUGUAAAUUUGAUAAUUUAAAAUAUUUUUUAAGUUAAUUUUAUCAAAUAACCUUAAUACUUAAAAUAAUAAUUAAAUAAUAUGUUUUAAGUCAACAAUUUAAGUUCUCAACUUAAGUCAUUAAAUAAUAAGUAAUAAGUUUUACCAAAUACCCUCUUAUUCAUAAAAUUUUAAGUAAAUUAAAUUAGAAAUUUUACGCCCUCUUACUCUUGGUUCAUAUACUUUUAUUUGUAUUAUUAUUAUUAUUGUAUUUUAUUUUGUCUUCACAUUAUUUAUUUUUGAGGAAAAAAAAAGGAAUUUGAGAUUUUGAAAAGGAAAUGGAAUUUCUAGCAAAAUAAAAGAGAAAAAGAAAGAGUGGAAGGGGAGCGACCUACUAAUCAUUGGAGGGGUAGUGUUAAUCACCACCAUCUUCCCCUCAAUCAUGGACACAAUCCACCUUUACCAUUGCAACUUCUUUAUAUAUCCAAUUUCGACAACUUUCAACUCUAAAACCAUCUCUAACACCCACUGCCACGCACCAUUCAUCCUUUCCAUCACCUCCACAGUCAUCUGCCAAUGUCCCUGCGCCCCCAAGUCGUGGCACUCAUAGCUAACCAUAGCAUCUCUGUUAACCAUCUUCUCCACUCUGGUACCACUAUUUUAGCAUACUAGCAUUUUUUUGUUACAACAACUAUAUUAGUAUAGAAUAUUCUAGAUAUAGCUUGUUAAAAUAAGUGCUGAGUUGUACAACCUUGUUUGGAAAUGUAAGGUAGAGCACUCUAUUAUAUAUAUUUUUAUACCUUCACACUAUUGUUUUUCAACACAAUGAAAUGAGAAUGUGUUUUUCUCUUUCCAUUUUCUCCUUGUAAUAUGGUAUUAGAGCAUCUUCCUUCUGUUGCUCUUUCAUCUUUUUGUCAAAAUGACUCGUGGUAACAACACAAACCGAUUCCAACCACUCACACCUCAUUCUUCCACUAGAACCAUGGCUCAAAAUGAUUCUUUUUAUUCCAUGGAUAACACUAGCAACCCUUUUUUCUUGCAUAGUGGUGAACAAGGAUGAAAAUAUCGGUAAUUAUGAAUAUAUUGGUACUUCUAUUUUAUGGAUAUAUUGGAUAAAUCGGAGAUAUAUCGACAGAUAUUUUGGAAAAAAAAUAUCGAUAAACCUAAAAUUGAUCAAAAUUUAUAAAAAAAAAAUAUAAGAAAAACUUCAUCACUACAAGGAAAAAGGUAUAUGGUGACAUUUAUAACGAGUCACCAUAAACAUAAGGUGUCACUACAACAUAGCGUCACCUUCUCCACUGACACCAUAGAGGGUACCAAUUGGUGACGUAUUUGGAAGUGACACCAAAGUAGAUAAAUGGUGACCCAUUCAGAAGUGACACCAUAUAUUUCUAGUGAUGAUAGGAUGUCACAUCAAAUACAUCAUCUUUGAGUUAUGAUGUCACAUUAAAUGCAUCACCUUUGAGUUAUGGUAUCCCAUCAUUGUAAAUUAUUGUGGAAUAUAUGAUUGGUUUUAGUUGUUGAUUUUUGUAAUGCUUAUGAAUUAAUAAGAUUAACCUGUUUAUAUUUUGUCCAUAAAUAUAACAAUCAUAUUAUAUUUAACUCAUUUUUCUGUAAUGUUUCUAGAAUAACUCAUAAUACAUUGAUCAUCUAAUAAUAUUUGUAUAUCAAAUGUUCACAAAAGGAUAGUACGUCCAACAUANNNNNNNNNNNNNNNNNNNNNNNNNNNNNNNNNNNNNNNNNNNNNNNNNNNNNNNNNNNNNNNNNNNNNNNNNNNNNNNNNNNNNNNNNNNNNNNNNNNNNNNNNNNNNNNNNNNNNNNNNNNNNNNNNNNNNNNNNNNNNNNNNNNNNNNNNNNNNNNNNNNNNNNNNNNNNNNNNNNNNNNNNNNNNNNNNNNNNNNNNNNNNNNNNNNNNNNNNNNNNNNNNNNNNNNNNNNNNNNNNNNNNNNNNNNNNNNNNNNNNNNNNNNNNNNNNNNNNNNNNNNNNNNNNNNNNNNNNNNNNNNNNNNNNNNNNNNNNNNNNNNNNNNNNNNNNNNNNNNNNNNNNNNNNNNNNNNNNNNNNNNNNNNNNNNNNNNNNNNNNNNNNNNNNNNNNNNNNNNNNNNNNNNNNNNNNNNNNNNNNNNNNNNNNNNNNNNNNNNNNNNNNNNNNNNNNNNNNNNNNNNNNNNNNNNNNNNNNNNNNNNNNNNNNNNNNNNNNNNNNNNNNNNNNNNNNNNNNNNNNNNNNNNNNNNNNNNNNNNNNNNNNNNNNNNNNNNNNNNNNNNNNNNNNNNNNNNNNNNNNNNNNNNNNNNNNNNNNNNNNNNNNNNNNNNNNNNNNNNNNNNNNNNNNNNNNNNNNNNNNNNNNNNNNNNNNNNNNNNNNNNNNNNNNNNNNNNNNNNNNNNNNNNNNNNNNNNNNNNNNNNNNNNNNNNNNNNNNNNNNNNNNNNNNNNGUAGAUAUCGAAGAAGCCCUAUGUAAAUAAGUUCAAUGAGUACAUUUUUAAAAUAGGUAAAUGUAUAUGUUUAAUAUAUAUAAAUAAUAAAAAAAAUGUGUUGAGGAAAACAUAAAUAAACCCUUAUGUAAAAAAAAAAACAUUAAAAUAUAAUUGAGCAUUAAAAUAUUUACUCUCUUUCAUCACUUUCAUUUGAAUAUUAAUAAUCUCUUAUUGAGAUAGAUACUUACAAUUUAAUAAAAUAGAAAUUCCAAUAAUAAAAAAUAUAAAAUUUCUAUUUCUAUUAACAAAAUAUAAAAACUUUCCAAAACUCAACUACUUAAAUAUAAAAAUAAAAUCAAAUAAAAUAUCUAGCUAAUUGGAUUUUAGAAACUAAAUAAACUAUAAAUAAACUAAAUAUAAAAACUAAAUAAAAUAUCUAUGCCCAUGAAUUAAUUGAAGAUGAUAGAAAGACACAGAGAGAACAUGACUAUGGUUAUGAUUUCCAUCUUAUCAUCUCCCGUUAAUACCACACAUGCUCAUUUUAAGGUUGGACACUACUUUUGUUGCUGGACUUGGAAAGGGAACUUCAAAAUUGAAAACAUAAAUAAACCCUUAUGUAAAAAAAAAAAAAAACAUUAAAAUAUAAUUGAGCAUUAAAAUAUUUACUCUCUUUCAUCACUUUCAUUUGAAUAUUAAUAAUCUCUUAUUGAGAUAGAUACUUACAAUUUAACAAAAUAGAAAUUCCUAAUAAUAAAAAAUAUAAAAAUUUCUAUUCCUAUUAACAAAAUAUAAAAACUUUCCAAAACUCAAAUACUUAAAUAUAAAAACAAAAUCAAAUAAAAUAUCUAACUAAUUGGAUUUUAGAAACUAAAUAAACUAUAAAUAAACUAAAUAUAAAAACUAAAUAAAAUAUCUAUGCCCAUGAAUUAAUUGAAAAGGAUAGAAAGACACAGAGAGAACAUGGCUAUGGUUAUGAUUUCCAUCUUAUCAUCUCCCGUCAAUACCACACAUGCCUUCCCGGAUUGGUCCUUUUGGGGUUGGAUACUCUCAACGAAAUUCUAUAUCUCAUUCCCACUUAGAUACAAACAGAAAAAUCAUUCUUUUUUUUUUCCUCUCUCGUUUUUUAGAAAGGAUGAAGAUUAUGUGAUAGUAUAUCUUAAAAAAAUUCUAUACCUGUCAUUCUCACACAAAUAUAUAUUAAAAAUCAUUCAUUUUUUCCUGUUUUUCACUUUUUUUUUAAGGACUUGAUCAUGUGUUUGGUUUAGAUUAAAAAAAUCAAUUAAUCUAUAGUUUUUUCUUCCAUGCUAGAAUAUUAAACCUAAAUUUUUCUUCCCUACAACUCAAGAAAACACAAUUCACAAAAACCAUAAUACAAAGAUGUUGAAACAAUUAAUAUAAUGGCAUUAAUAAAAGAAAAAAAAAAUGAUAGAUCCAAGAGAUUUUGGGUUACCUGGGAGUCCACAAAGUGAAGAAUGUCGGUUUUGAGCGUGUUGACUAUGGAUGGGUGAGAGAAAAGGUUGAAGAAGAUCAUGAUUUUAUAUAUAGGAUUUAUAUAUUGAGAUUUUUUGGAUUGUGGGUGAGAUAUGGAAACAAUGGGAUUUUUAUAUAGUAUAAUACUUAAAAAAUUUAUUUUAUAUGAUGUCACUUCCCAAAAAAUGACACUAUAAAUAUAAAAUUAAUAUCAUCUAACUACCUCAAUUGAAGAUUUUUUAUAUGAUGUGUCACCUUUAUUAAUUAUAAACCCUAUGGUGUCAUUAUUUUAAAAGUGACACCGUAAAUAGUGACACCAUAAACUAUUUUUGUAGUAGUGCAUAAAAAUAUAAUUAGAAGUAUAAUGAUAUUUUUAAGUUGUUUUAUUAAAUAAUUUGAUAUAUGUAUAAUAUGAUUUAUCAUAUUGGAUAAUAAUAUCGUAUGCCUCAAUAAAAAUAUGAAUCUUAUAAGUGUACAUUUAUUAUUAAAUUACAUUAUAUAUUAUUUCAUAAUAAUAUUAUGAUAUUUGAUUAUAAUAUGUCUAAUUUUAAAAUAUAUAUUAAUAUUAAAAUUAUGAUCCAUUUAAUUCAAUUAUAUUAAAUAAUAUAAAAUAAAUUAUAAUAUAUGUACAAUUUUUUAAUAUUUAAUUAAUUAUUAAUGAUAUUAAAAACACUAUGAAAAAAAUUAUCAUGAUAAUUUUUAUAUUUUUGGUAAUUAAUUAAAAUAAAUUUUUGCAUUUAAUUAUAAUUAAUUGCUUUUUAAAUAUUCUUUUAAUAUUUUCUUUAUAUAAUGAGUUUAAAUAUAUAUAUAUAUAUAUAUAUGUUUAGUGCAUAUUAUUUAACAACGGGCAAGUUUGCCCUAAUGAUAAGUGAGUUGAACCCUAUUUGGUUUAAGGUUCGAAUCCCUCAACAGCAAAAGGGAGGGCUUUUUGGCACUUGGGCACUGUCCUUUUGUUGGGGUUUGGUCAAGAUGUAACAAUAUGGUCACUUCUUGGAUUCUCAAUACCCUUUCUAAAGAGAUUGUUGAUAGUCUACUUUACCUUGACAAUGCUCAAGCCGUUUGGGCAGGUCUACAUGAUCGAUUUCAUCAGAGCAAUGCCCCACAUAUUUUUUAGAUUAAGCAACAGUUGAACUGUUUAUCUCAAGGUUCCCUUGAUAUCAAUACUUUUUAUACUUGCUUGAAAAUACUUUGGGAUGAACUCAAAAAUUUUCAACCCGUUCUCGUUUGUCAAUGUGGUGGCAUGAAAGCAUGUAUGAAUUAUCAACAACAAGAAUAUGUGAUGCAAUUUUUUAUUGGCUUAAACGAAUCUUAUUUUGGGAUGCGUAGGUAGAUUUUGAUGCUUGAUCCAUUACCCCUUGUUGUGAAGGUUUUCAAUCUUGUUGUUCAAGAAGAACGACAACACACCAUCGGAUCUGGUUCCCCUGCUUCAUCUGAAUCCCUGGCAUUUAGCACCCCCUCAUCAUCUCCCUCUGUCGCAGCUUCCUCUUCUCAAAGUAAGCCCAAACGUAAUCUCCUGAUCUGUUCUCAUUGUAGGCUCACAAAGGCAUACUGUGGACCUUUGCUACAAGUUACAUGGGUACCCACCUGGGUACAAGCCCAAACCCAAGGCCCAAUUAAGCUCCCUUCAAUCCACCAACAUCGAUAAUUUAGAUAGAUUGUCAUUUAUUGUAUGAUACUCUUUUUCUAAAUUUUGAAAUAUGGAAUUUAGUUUCUAUUAAAAUGAAUUAAAAUAAAAGUAUAUCCAUAAAAAAAUUUUGAUCUCUUUGUACAGGUUUGAUCAAAAUUACUAAAGUUGAAAAAAGGAGUUGAGAAAGAAACAAGAAAGCUAAAAAAAGGAGAAAGAUUAUGACUUCUUUUUAAAUAGUUGGUAACUUAUGAGAUUCUUUGAAUUGCAAUGUUAUAUGUUUUAGCUUUAUGAAUUUCUUUUCAAUGUAAUUAUAAAACAUCUUUUUCUAGAUAUGAACAUAUAAUUAAACCAUAUAAAAUUACUACACCUAGCUAGAGCAUUAAUUUGGUACCUAUAAAAAAGUAUCAUCAAUUAGUUGAUAUCACAUGUGCAAUUCAAUUCUCAUUGCUUUGUAUCCAAGUGUUAUUACUUUAUACCUCUUAUAUCAUCUUAUUGCAUUGGACCUUGAUCUUGUUUAUUUAUAAUUUGGUCACAUAUGUUCAUAACCAGGUCCAUAUGUUUGUACUUUCAUUCAAUGACCCAAAUUUGAUCUUUGGUAGGUACAAUUUUGGUACUUAGAUUUUCCAAAAUUCUUACUAUUUGCUNNNNNNNNNNNNNNNNNNNNNNNNNNNNNNNNNNNNNNNNNNNNNNNNNNNNNNNNNNNNNNNNNNNNNNNNNNNNNNNNNNNNNNNNNNNNNNNNNNNNNNNNNNNNNNNNNNNNNNNNNNNNNNNNNNNNNNNNNNNNNNNNNNNNNNNNNNNNNNNNNNNNNNNNNNNNNNNNNNNNNNNNNNNNNNNNNNNNNNNNNNNNNNNNNNNNNNNNNNNNNNNNNNNNNNNNNNNNNNNNNNNNNNNNNNNNNNNNNNNNNNNNNNNNNNNNNNNNNNNNNNNNNNNNNNNNNNNNNNNNNNNNNNNNNNNNNNNNNNNNNNNNNNNNNNNNNNNNNNNNNNNNNNNNNNNNNNNNNNNNNNNNNNNNNNNNNNNNNNNNNNNNNNNNNNNNNNNNNNNNNNNNNNNNNNNNNNNNNNNNNNNNNNNNNNNNNNNNNNNNNNNNNNNNNNNNNNNNNNNNNNNNNNNNNNNNNNNNNNNNNNNNNNNNNNNNNNNNNNNNNNNNNNNNNNNNNNNNNNNNNNNNNNNNNNNNNNNNNNNNNNNNNNNNNNNNNNNNNNNNNNNNNNNNNNNNNNNNNNNNNNNNNNNNNNNNNNNNNNNNNNNNNNNNNNNNNNNNNNNNNNNNNNNNNNNNNNNNNNNNNNNNNNNNNNNNNNNNNNNNNNNNNNNNNNNNNNNNNNNNNNNNNNNNNNNNNNNNNNNNNNNNNNNNNNNNNNNNNNNNNNNNNNNNNNNNNNNNNNNNNNNNNNNNNNNNNNNNNNNNNNNNNNNNNNNNNNNNNNNNNNNNNNNNNNNNNNNNNNNNNNNNNNNNNNNNNNNNNNNNNNNNNNNNNNNNNNNNNNNNNNNNNNNNNNNNNNNNNNNNNNNNUGUAUAAAUGGAUUUUUGUUAUUAUUGAUACAUGUGGAUUAUGGAUUUUUGUAGCUUAUUUUCCAAAUACAUGUGGUAUUUUUGCGUGAUUGAAUAUUUUUUAAAUUAUCAUGGCUCAUACCAUUUCUUACCAUGCUUAUCUAAAUCAAUAAUUAAAAUUCAAUAACCAACCGGGUUACCCCUGAACAAGAUGUCAUGGCUUGAUCCCAAUUGGUUAUAUAUAUUGUAAGAACUUAAUUUUUUAGAUAAAAUUAAUUAUGAAAAUAAAAUUAUUAACAAAAUUAAAGAGAGAGGGAGAGAUGACAAUUGACAAGAGUAAAAGAAUGUUUGGUUUUUUAAUUUUUUGUUUAAAGUAAUUUGUUUUCAAACUCUAGGUUAUUUAUUUUUAUACUUUUUCAUAACUUAUUAUAAAUUUUUUGUUGAAUAGAAAAAGUAAAAAUAUUUGACUUUUUCUAAAUAGAAAAAGUAAUAUAUUAGUUUUUUUUAUUUCAUAUUUAAUAGAAAUAAAAUAUUAUAAAAAAAAUAACCUAUCACUUAACACUAUUAAACACUAUUUAUAAAGACAAACAAACAAACACCAUAUAAGAGUGCUCUUAAAAAAAAAUUAAAGAAUUUUAUUUUAUUUUAUUUUAUUUUUAUAAGGAGACAAACAUUUCCCUUCAUAUAAAGUAUUUUUAUAAUCAACGUGAUACUUCUUACACAUUUUUUUUUGGUAACCGAAAAAUCCUUCUUACAUGUUCUUUCUACUAAUGAAAAAAAUUAAACACGAAAAAAGAAAAAGGGAUUUUAGUUAUUUAAUUAUUAAAAAUAGUUUAAAAAUUGAAGUUAAAAUAUUUUUAUCACCUCGAAUUUCAUAUUCAAAAGCAUAUAAGGUAAGUCCUCAUUUUUUUCUCUAUAAAAGUUUUUAUAUUUUAUUUAUCCACUUAAGUUUUUAGCAAGUUUAUUUUUUAUUUUAAUUUAAUUUAUAUUGAAUGAGUAAUUUUAAGGCAGAAAUUUAUUUUCUUUUAAUUAUUAAUUAAUUAUAUAAGUAACAAAAUUAAUUAUUCAAGGUUCAUUAAAUGAAAAAUAUUGUAUAUGAAGAAAUAUCCUUGCAACAAGAGCCAGGCAGUCUAUUAAUACAUAUUAUCAUCUAUGCAUUUUUCCUCUACACUUCCAAUUUGAAUUAAUCCCAGGGAAUAUACUCCCAUCCAGUCUAAUUUUUAGAUGAUCGAGAAACAAUCUCAACCAUUAAUAUGGGAAAGGCAGAUUUUUUAGUAUUUAUAACCAUUUGCAUUUUUUUUCAUUAGCCGGAAAAAAAAAAGUUAAUAAUUCAACACUAAAUACACAAUCAUUUUCCCUUUCAAAGUUUUAGUUAUAAUAUUCCUUUAAAUUAUGUCUGGUUCUUGAAAAGUAUUAAAAAAAGAAAAAUAAAAUGUUAAAGAAAAUGAUUUUCUUAUGUUUGAUUUUACAAUAGAAAAUACAAAAGAAAAUUAAAUAAAAUUAAAAUAAUUAGUUGAAAAUUUAUACAUUUUAAAAUUGUAUAAUCUUUAUAUCAAUGAGGAAAUUAAGUAAAAUGAAUUUGAAGAAAUAUAUAAAAAUAAUUUAUUAAUUUUGAAUUUAUUUUUUAUUUUUCUUCGAUUUUUCUUUUCUUUCUCCUUUUUUUUUUUUUUUCUUUCCCUCAUACUUUUUCUCAAAUUUUUCGAGAACCAAACAUAGCAUUGGAAUAUAUAUUUUUUUAAAAUCUUUUUAAUUAUUUUCAAGUAUAAAAUGAUAUAAAAAUUCACUCCUAUCAUCUCAACUUUUUCCACAAUCAAACCUAGAAAAACUUUUAAUUCUAAAUCCUCAUGUCCAUUUCAUUCAGCAUUGUUAUCUUUAUUUUCUCUAUGGACUCAAGACAAGGUUCUCCUAUUUCUAAUGGGCUAUAAUAGAAUUUCUAAGAGGCUUAUGUGGCCUCGAAGAAAAAGAACUCUUUGGCCCACAUUACGUUGUUAAGCUAUAUGCAAGAUGAUCUCUUGAUUGAGUAUGAGGUCUACCAAACUGCUCAUGAAAUGUGGGAAGCUUUAAAGGAAAAGUAUAAUGGACUUUCAGCUACAAAGUUGAGAGAAUUUGUAAUGAAAUUUGAAAUUACAAGAUGCAACCGAACCAUAUAAUGAAACAACAUCUCAAGGAGAUGAAAAGAAUAAUAAGAGAGCUUAAGACAUCUGGACAUGUCUUCAUUGAUGAGCAACAAGUUAAGACAGUCAUCAAAUAUCUACCAAAAAGUUGGGAACACAUGAUGGUGAACAUAACACAUAAUGAGAGAGUCAAUACCUUGACGAUAUAGUUCGCCAUCUUGAAUUGGAAGCCGAGUGACUUAAGGUUGCUAAGCCUAAUGAACAAUCUUAUGUAGUUGAAUCUAAUUCUUGCAAAACUUUUGACUUUAAGCAUAAUAGAAAAUUCUUUAAGAAAAAUAAGAAAUCUGAUGAUGCUUUAAAGAAAGGAAAGAUUGGGGCAUGUAAGAAGUUCAAGUGUGCUAAGAGAGAUAAGAGCAAGUUGAAAUGCUACAACUAUGGCAACAAGGGUCACUUCACUUGUGAGUGCAUUGAGCCGAAACAGGUAUGAUCCUAUUCAAAAAACCUAUAUGCUUAAGUAAUAACCCUCAUUUGUCUUAAUUACCUCCACAAUCUCCUUUGCUACACUACGAUCUCCACAUUUACUUGACCUCCUUUACCCUAAUUAUAAUUUAUAAGGAUAAAUAUGUCAAUUUGAUGAUUUAGAUUAAGUUUUAAGUUAAUUUUUAUCAAACAAUCUUAAUACUUAAAGUAAAAAUUAAGUAAUAAAUAUUAAGUCAAUAAUUUAAGUAUAAUUUAAUUUAAAGUCAACUUAAGUCAAUAAGUAAUAAGUAUUAAACUUUACCAAACACCCCUAAAUACAAAAUCAUUUUCCCUUUGAAAGUCUUGAUUAUAUUCACUUAAAAUAUGUUUUUUUUUAAAAAUUAUUUUCAAGUAUAAAAUGAUAUAAAAAUUCACUCCUAUCAUCUCAACUUUUUCCACAAUCAAAGUUAGAAAAACUUGUAAUUUUAAAUCCUCUAUCCAUUCCAUUCAACAUCUUCAUCUUUAUUUUCUUUCCCAAUGGACUCAAGACAACUUCCUCCUAUUUCUAAGAGACUAUAAUAGAAUUUUCGACUCUAUUCUCUUACAUGCCUUGAUUUGAAUUGACUAGAUAUGACUUUUUUCCGGAUUAUUGAUAAAUAUACUGCUAUUAAAAAAAAUAAUAUUUAAAAUACCAUAGUUUGGAAAAUAAUUCCAAUUCUACUGCACUUUUGAACACGUAGGAUGAGAUAUGAAAACCCAUUCCCCCCUUUCCAUUGCCCUUCCUGCUUUUCUUCUCUGCAUCAAAACUCCUCUGCCCGAAAACCCAUUAUCCCGCACGCUGAUCAUGGGGUGGAGAUCCUUGCCUCAACACCAAUAGGAAGGAAGUGAAGUGCAGAUCUGAGGAACCAUUGCCCCCGGUGUUUUCUAUAAGUUUUGUGGUUAUAUUUGGUGGUGUGGUUGUGUUUGGUCACCGAGAAAGUGUGGGAAAGUUGUAAAAAAAAUAAAGUUUUUGUUUUUUUUUUACAAUGAAACUGAGUAGACUAAAAAUAAUGGAGAAAGUUUUAAUUUUUUUUGUGGUUCGGCUUGUUGUGAUUCUGUUUGGUUGCCAAGAAAGUGUGGGAAAGUUGAAAAAAAAAAAUUCCCAAUAUUUCCUACCAGUCCAGCCCGUGCACAGGAUACAAAAUCUGUCCAAUUUUUUUUUAUAAAAAAACAUAAGCUAUUUGGUAAUCUGAUCAUGAUUUGAGGAGAAAGGUGAUCAUGAUUUAAGGGGAAAGGUUGUGUUUUUUAGUGUGGCUCAAAAAUCGUGGAUUUAGGGUUUGUGAAAUUUAAAUCCAAUGGCACAAAAGCAAAGAGACCCCUAGAACAGAUCCAGAAAGCACGAAGCAAAAAAAAAAAAACAUUUUUUUGUUUGUUUUUUUAGGGGGUUUUGCAUGGACUUUCUCGGAAAUCAAAGGAGGAUGAAUUUUCCCGGAAAGCAAAUGGGGGAUGGAUUUUCUUGGGAAUCAAACGGGGAUUGCAAAAACUUGGGAAUCAAACGGGGAUUGCAACAAAAUAAAAAAAUAAUAACCUCAUUAGAUUAGUACCUGCAUUGAAAUUGAAAUUGAAAUUGAAAUUGAAAUUGAAAUUUAAAUUCAAGGAGAUUUUUCACUUUUUAUUUGUUAAAAUAAAAAAUAAAAAUACUAUCUUUUUAUUUGUUAAAAUUAAAAACAAAUAAGAAAUAUUUUUAUUGUUGAAAAUGUCCCUUUUCAAAAUUCGAAAUUUUCACUGAAAAAUUGUUGAAAGUGUCUCUUCAAGAGACAUUUUCAGUAUAAACCCAAUUUUUUAAAAAUUAUGAAAGGCGUCCGAAUAUAAUUCCAUUUUUUUGUAAUUAUGGAAGGUGUCUCUUCAAGAGACACCUUCAGCAUAAAUUCAAAAUUUUCCAUUGUUUGAAUGGAAAUUGUAGAAAGUGUCUUUUGAACAAGCACUUUCAGUAUAAACCCAAUAUUUUUAAAAUUGUGGAAGGUAUCAAGAGACACAUUUCACAAUUCCCAAAAAAUGGAAUUAUAUUGAAGGUGUCUCUUCAAGAGACACCUUCUAUUAUUUUAAAAAAAUUGGGUUUAUAUUAAAAGUGUCUCUUGAAGAGACACUUUCCGCAAUUUUCAUACAUUAAAGAGAGACAUCUUUAGCUUUAAAAUCAUUUCCACAAAUAAAAUACAUAUUGGAUUUUGUGGAAUUGUGUAAAGUGUUUUUCCAAGAGACACAUUUAGUAUAAAUCUAAUUUUUUGGAAUUCUAGAAUGUGUUUCUUGAAGAAACACCUUUGACACAUUUGGUAUAAUUAAAAUUUUUAGGAAUUGUAGAAGGUGUCUCUUCAAAAGACAUCUUUAACUUUAAAAUCAAAUUCAUAAGACAUUCAAAUUUGUCAAAUUGUGGAAAGUGUCUCUUCAAGAGACACCUUUAAUACAAAUUGGAUUUUUUGUCACGUGGAAAGUGUCUCUGCAAGAGACACCUUUAAUGCAUAUUGGAUUUUUUGCCAUGUGGAAAGUGUUUUUUCAAGAGACACCUUUAAUAUAAAUCAAAAUUUCUGAAAUUGUAGAAAGUGUCUCUUUAAGAGACACCUUCCACGUGGCCAAAACUGCCGUAAAUCUAUCAAUAUUUUCAAAACUACCAUUUUUUAAUUAUAAUUUUUUAAAAUUGCCGCAAAAGUUAAAAAAGCCCCUUUUUUCCACCUUUAAUUAAGUCUACGUGUAACUCCUCAAAUAUUUUCACAAACAAUAUUAUUUGCUAAUAUAACAACAUACUUGUAGAAAAAAAAAGAUACACAUUACUUAAAAAUAGGAUAAAUUUCUAUCAAUGUCUAUCUCAAAUGAAUAGUUCUCCAUCCAAUUUUAAUAACAAUCAAAUUGAACAUAUUCCCAUAUUCAUUAAGUAUAAGAAAAUAGAGUUUUAAUUAUUCAAGGUCAAAUUCUCAAUAGUUUUAUUCACUUUGGUAAAACAAAUUCAAUAGUUUUAAUUGUGGAUUGUUAAUUACAUGGUUGAUAUUGUUUGUUAGUUUAGCUCCUUUCAAGAAGAUAUUUAAUUGUGUAUUUAUUGACUAAUGAGAUUUGUAUGUAAUUAAAUUUGUGCCCUUUUAAACUUUUUCAUUAAAUAAUAUAAAGAUCGAGAACAAACUUCCUCGUGAUUUUUGAAAGCUCAAAUUUUUUGGUUUCAUCAAAGAAGUUAUUUGAGAAUUGAAAUACAACAUAUGAUGAAGUAUCUAGGGCCUACAAUUGGUACAUUAAAUAUCACCUUAUUGGUUAAUUACAUGGAAUGUUGGCCAUCAUGUCUUCAAUAAAAUGGCCCAAGGAAAAGUGCGACGAUCCACCCUCUAUCAUCACUUUUCUACUUAUUUUUUUCAUUUCUUCCCUCUUCUUCCUCACUUCAUUGUCAAUAUUCAUUAGAUUCUUUAAUCCAAUUUCAAUCUCCCGAGCACUUACAACAUAACUAAUAUCCUUAUUAUAAUUCAUUUUAAUCUUUACGGCUAAUCCCAAAUCUUUCACCAUUUGAAACGCAUUGAUUCGUUGUUCUGCAAACAUCGGCCACGUGGCUACAGGAACACCAUAAAAUAUGCUUUCUAACGUAGAAUUCCAUCCGCAAUGAGAUACAAAUCCUCCAACCGCUGAGUGGGCCAAAAUAGCUACUUGUGGAGCCCAUCCGAUCACCUUUCCAAUCCUGGCUGUCCGGUGUAAGAACCCUUCUGGUAGAACUUCCUCCACAUUUGCAUAAUUGCUUCGAGAUUCUAUUUUACCCUUUGACGAGGGUUGACGAAGGGACCAUAGGAAGCGAUGCCCGCUGCGUUCUAGCCCAUGUGCUAUCUCUUUGACCUGAUCCCCACCAAAGCCUCCCAUGCUCCCGAAGCACAGGAAUACCACUGAUGAUGGAGGCUGAUCAUCAAGCCAGCUCAUGACGGCACUAGCAUCUUGUUGACCCCCAACAGAUCCCCCUUGCGUCUUAAGUACUGGUCCAACGGGGUAGACCGGGGGUAUUGUACUGCCAGAAAAUGAUUGAAUAGCAUGUGACUCGAGCUCAACAAGUGUAUUUACCAUAAUACCCUUGACUUGUCUGAACCUCCUUGUGUGAUACAGAAACUUCUCAGCCCCACCGCCUUCCUUGCCAAACAUCAAAGAAGGAAAGACCUUACCUGGAACCGGGUUGGCAUAACUCGGAACCUCCAGCUCAGCAUCCGAGUCCUUGAACUCAUUGAAAUCCAAGCCCUCAUUAUCAUGGAGGAACUGAAGAUGGAACAUGAAGCCAAGAAAAGCGGCGCUGGAAGUGAAGAAGAGAUAUGAAGGCACCUCAAACUCAUCGGCCACAUCAAUCAUGGAGGUGCAGAACAUAUCAAUAACGAACCCACCGAGCCGAACGGAGUUGGAGCGAGUGAUCUCGUGGACUGCGUCUCUGACGAGUGGUAUCUGAGGUUUGAGGAAUUCAGUGAUCCCUGUAGUUCCAGGGCUGACCUCUACAGGAGGAAGUGUGAGGAAACGUAUGGAAUCAGAGUCGGAGGUCAUACUAUCAUUGGACCCAAACGGAAACUUCAUAAUCAAGAUUGUGAUUGACAAUCGGCGGUCUCGGUGAGUCAUCAGCUUUGCAAUCUCCACUGUGGCCACAAGGUGGCCGAUCCCAGGAGAUGGGAUGAAGACAAGCUCAGUUUGCUUCAUCACUAACCGGCGAUUACUGCAAAGAGAGAAAAAUAUUGGAUGUUUUGAGGGCUUUGUGGUGCGGUGACACAUACUUGUUGCUGAAUGGGUUAUAAACGACCUUUCAAUAGUCUUGGCGGGCGAGGAACCGAUGUCAUGGCUUUGCUGGUUCAGUCUAUUUUAUUCUACUUCUCGUUUUUCUAUGAUUUGGGGUUGCCCAUUAUCGAAGUUCGAGGCAACUGUCGGUGGUUCUGGAUUUCCGUCAGUUUAGUGUAAAACAAACAAUUAAAUGUAUGAUUUGUGGUUCCCCAUUAUCGAAGUUCGAGGCAACUGUCGGUUGUUCUGGAUUUCCGUCACUUUAUUGUAAAACAAACAAUUAAAUGUAUGAUUCAUUCCGACUUGAGGAAGGAUCCAAAUAGGUAAGGCUACACUUUUCACAUUAAGUCCUUAAUUCCUAAUAUUGGGGCCAAAUUUUGUGAAGGUAACCUUUAUUGGUUUAAAGUUGUAAAUAAAAAACUUACAAGAGUAAAAAUAUCAUAAUUUUUCUUAAAAAUUUGUUUUAACAUAAAUGGAUGAAAAAAGGUUUUAACGAAUGAUACUUUUAUUCCAAAAGUUUGUCAUUUUCAUUAUUUAAAUAAAAAUGAAAAGCAUUAUUGAAAAUGGAGAUUAUUUUAAUCAAAUAUGUCAAUUUUUUUUUUUUUGAUGUCUUUUCAAUUACAAAACUAAAUAUGUAGGAAGUGUUAUAUUCAUGACAAAAACAUAUUCAUGGGUUGUGCUCACAAUUUUUUAUGCAUAUAGUAAAGUAAUAACUUUUAUUUCCAUUCAAAUUGAUUCAAUUAUUAUCUUGGUUAAUUAUUAAGAUUAUUGAUUUGGAUUAGCCCUGAGAGAAAUUAUGUGAGUCACAGUACUCAAAAAUAUUUUUAAUCAUAUAAAAAUACAAGAUAUAUCUAAAAAGAAAAACAAUUACAAAGAUUGUCUCAAUUUCCGUAGAUGCAAAAACAACUAAGUCUAUGGACUAUUAUAAAAAUUCACUAAAUAUAAAAGAAUUGUACAGAGUUACCUAGCCCAUUUACCUUUUUCUACAAGUCUUAUAUGAAUAAGCACUUUUCCUUUCAUCUCAAGGUUUAAGAACUCAAAAUUUCAACAUUUUCCUUUCAUCUUUGAAAGGACUUUUAAGAUUUUUUUUCACCCUUGAUGUUGAUUUUCUAGAGUAUCGAAACGAGGAAAACAAUGAUUGUCUUGUAGAUUUUAUUACAGUUUUUUGUUUCACACCCUAAAAUGAAAUUUUAAAAUCCUUUUCAUAUCUAAACCUUGGGUAUUUUAGUUGUACCAUAUUAUAAAAAAAUUUAAUAGGCGUUCAGAGUCAUCAUUCUCAUAGGCAUUUAAAGCCAUCAUUUUCAAAUGCAUUAAGAUCCACCAUUUUCAAAGGCAUUCAGAGCCACCACCAUUUUCAUAGGCGUUCAAAGCCACCAUUUUCAUAAGCGUUCAAAGCCACCAUUUUCAUAGGCGUUCAGAGUCACCAUUUUCAUAGGUGUUUAGUGCCAUCAUUUUCAUAGGCGUUCAGAGCCAUCAUUUUCAUAGGCGUUCAAAGCUACAAUUUUCAGAAGCGUUUAGAGCCACCACCAUUUUCAUAGGCAUUCAGAGCCACCACCAUUUUCAUAGGCAUUCAGAGCCACCAUUUUCAUAGGCGUUAAGAGCCAUCAUUUUCAUAGGGGUUAAGAGCCACCAUUUUCAUAGGCGUUCAAUGUCAUCAUUUUCAUAAGCAUUCAGAGACAUAAUUUUCAUAGACAUUCAAAGCCAUCAUUUUCAUAGGCGUUCAGAGCCAUCAUUUUCAUAGGCGUUCAGAGCCAUCAUUUUCAUAGGAGUUCAGAACCACCAUUUUCAUAGGCGUUCAGAGCUACCAUUUUCAUAGGCAUUCAGAGACAUCAUUUUAAUAGGCGUUUAGACCCAUCAUUUUAAUGGGCGUUUAGAGCCACCAUUUUCAUAGGCAUUCAGAGCCACCAUUUUCAGAGGUGUUCAGAGCCACCAUCAUUUUCAUAGGCGUUCAGAGAUAUCAUUUUCAUAGGUAUUCAAAGCCACCAUUUUCAGAGGCGUUCAGAGCCACCACCAUUUUUAGAGGCGUUCAGAGCCACCACCAUUUUUAGAGGUGUUCAGAGCCACCACCAUUUUCAUAGGCGUUCAGAGCCACCAUUUUCAUAGGUGUUCAAAGCCACCAUUUUCAUAGGCUUUCAGAGCCACCAUUUUCAUAGGCGUUUAGUGUCAUCAUUUUCAUAGGCGUUUAGAGCCAUCAUUUUCAUAAGCAUUCAGAGCCACCAUUUUCAUAGGCGUUCAGAGCCACCAUUCGUUCAGAUGCAUCAUUUUCAUAGGCAUUCAAAGCCACCAUUUUCAGAGGCAUUCAAAGCCACGACCAUUUUCAUAGGCAUUCAGAGCUACCAUUUUCAUAGGCGUUUAGAGCCACCAUUUUCAUAAGCGUUCAGAGCCACCAUUUUCAUAGGUGUUCAGAGCCACCAUUUUCAUAGGCGUUCAGAGCCACCAUAAUUUUCAUAGGCGUUCAAAGCCACCAUCAUUUUCAUAGGCGUUCAGAGCCAUCAUUUUCAUAGGCGUUUAGAGCCACCAUUUUCAUAGGUGUUCAAAGCCACCAUUUUCAUAGGCGUUCAGAACCACCUUUUUCAUAGGCAUUCAGAGCUAUCAUUUCCAUAGGUAUUUAGAGCCACCAUUAUUUUCAUUGGCGUCCAGAGUCAUUUCUAUUCCAUUUAGAGCCCUAGAGUUGUUUUUUCAUCUAUGACCCAAAGUCAUCCUUUUCCACGUAGAGCCUUAAGCUCGCGACAGAGAGUUGUUCCAUUUUUGUGAUUGCAACCUGAUGUUCCAAGCUUACUCUCGUCAUGUGCUAGGACAAAAUCUCUGGUCCUUUUCUUUUAGUUCUUUGGUAUAGUUCACUUCGUUUUGCUCAUUAUUCGUAUUUUUACUCACAUUCCCUACACUUGUGAUCUUUGCCGAAGAUGGACAUAUUUGUAGAACCUUCAUUUUGUUCUCCUAGCACAUGUCCUGUUUGGUAUUUAUUCGAUACUUUACAGCAAUUCCCUGGUGGCCCAUUACUACUUGUGUAGCCUAUUUUUUCUAAGCCACCUUGGAGACUUUAGUUGAGGGAUUUAUCUAACCCUAUUGUGACUCUUGGCAACCCUAUUUAGACUUAGGAUCACUUAGACACCCUAGGCCCAUUUAGACACCCUAGGCCCAUUAGGCACUACCCUAGACCCACCUACGAAUACCUUGGUCCUUUAAGCACAUCUAGAUCUUUCAAACACACCCUAGCCAACUUAAACACUACCUAAGUCACCUAGGCACCUACCAACUUAUGUCACUGUAGACCCCCAUUUUCGGGAGCUGCCAUUCUUCUCACGUUUCCUUUCUUGCAGCUAGCUGUGGCCAAGUGUCACCAUCUUGCAUGGCCACGUGUCACUCCCGGAUUAGUCAAUAUGGGAUUAAAAUAGUGGAAUCACUAUGGUGGAAUUGAUGGACCAAUCAGAGGAAGACACCUGGAAAGUGAAGAACAUUCUGGAAUCAGGGGAGCGUAUCUUCUGUUAUGGGAAGGUUGCCAGCUGCAGGAGAGGAUAGUGGAGGCUGGCAGAGUAGUGGGGACAAAGGCUUGGCCGUUAGAGAUAUUUUUGAGGGAGAGGAGAGCUUGAGAGUUGAGAGAGGGAAGAUAAGAAAAACGGAGCAUGUUUCUGGAGGGUGGGUGCUGAUUUUGCAGUGAGCAGGCUGCUAGGGAAGAGGUUUUGGAGCUUAGAGGAGAGAGAUUUUAGGGAGGCAGCGGUGUGAGGUUGCUUUUUGGGGACGUGCGGCCUGGAGAGAUUUCUGGGGGAGAAAAACAAAGAGAGGGGAGAGACCGAGGAGGAGAUUUUUCGGGAGAGGAUUCCUUGAGUUUAGGCUGCUACGGAGGGAAGGCUUGGAGGAGAUCCAGGGGAGCUGAGGAGAAAGCGGCUAGAGAGAGUUAUCCAGAGAAGGAAUAGCUGAAACAGAGGGAAAAAGGAGGAGGGCUUGCUGAUUUCUGGUUGACUUUUUCAGAGAGGAAAACUUUCAGAUUUCCUAUCUUGGCACGAAAAGGUAAGGCACCGUGAGAUUCUCAGUGGAGGGAUAUUCCAGAAAGCAAGUUUUAGGCUAGAGAAGGAGAAGAGAGUAUUAUGUUUGGAGAAAUUUAUGGGCUAGUGAUUAUUUGAGAGUUGCAGACGGCUGGAGGAAACGAUGAGCUGAGAGUGAAGGAAAACGAACUUGAGAAAGAAAUAGAGCAAGUAAAGUUGUCCUCAAACGAAAGCCGCCGGCGGCGAAACGCCUCCGCCAUCACCAGAACGCCAAGCAACCAUUGAAUCUCUUUCACUUUCCUUCUCCUCUGAUGACCUCUGCAGCAUAUGCCUAGAUAGAGGAGAACCAUGAUGUAUUCUGAAGCUUCUUGGGUUUUAUGAGGAGAGCUCGGAGUAUAUUCAGGUUGACGGAAGGAAGGUAUUCAUUUGGAUAACAGAUUUAAUGGGACAAGUGAUCUAUGGGACGAACACAGCAGCUUUGAGUACAGCUCCGCUCGACAAUGGGUUGAGUUGUGGCUCGGGUGACUCACCAGGAGGUGUCACUUGUACCAAAAUUUGGCUGAUCAAGCAGUCAUCACCACAUGAUCUGAGACAUCAGUUUUCCACCUGCUUCGUCAAGCUUCAUCGACCCAGAAACACAGUCAACAGUCAUCACUGCCACGACGUGGACCCGCCGGAACGUGGCAGGAUGGUGAUCGGAAACAUUCACCAUUGUCAUUACUGUUGAGGGCCACGUGUUGACCAUUAUAUCUUUGCUUGAACUAUUAUUGUUUCUGUUGAUUGAGGCGUCAUGCAAUGCUAAGUCUCUGCACUCAGGUUGAGAUUUUGACUUCGCGGAUUAUCCCAAAGUGAGGAAUUGGAACAGAGAAGAGUUCUAGUAGGAAGAAAACUGGAAGUGUCACCAGUUUCUGGAUGGACCACCUUCCAUUGGUUUGAGACCUAUGAACUCAUCUAAUACAAUAUCUGGUGUAGGACCAUAUAAUCAAUUCAUUCAGCAGUAUCAACAGCUUCAGAGUCAGUCUCAAUUUCGCAUGGGGUAAAUGUCGGCAGUUGGUCCACAUGGAGACCAGGACUUGAAGUCACCAUCACCAAAACCUGGCAUUGAUGAGUUUGGUUUGCGUGGUUUGUUGAAGGUCAUAAGGAUGAAUAAUCCAGACUUGACCUCCCUUGCUUUGGGAAUGGAUCUUACAACACGGGGUUUGAAUUUGAAUGCUUCAGACGAUCUUCACAAAAGGUUUGCCUCUCCAUGGGUUGAAGAACCUCACAAGGGGAAGCCCCAAUACAGUAUCCCAGAAUGCUAUUAUGAUAAACAACCGCCCAUGCUUAAUCAAGCCUAUUUUGCAAAACUACAUCUGGAGACAUUAUUUUAUGUCUUUUACAGCAUGCCGAGAGAAGAGGCACUGCUAUAUGCAGCACAUGAACUGCAUGCUAGAGGAUGGUUCUACCACAAGCAGCAAUGGCUGUGGCUGACUAGGAAUGCAAGCAUGAGGCCCCUUGUCCAAUCUUAGCACUCGUAUAUGUACAUAUUCAUUGUUCACUGAUCUUGCUUCAUGAUAGCGCAUUUGUCACUGGAGGUCCAGGUGCGCACUCAUUCUCAUCCUGAUCAUUCACUGUACAUAUUAUUCUCAUAUACGCAUGAUUGAUGUGAGUAUCCGCUGAUUUUCUUAUUGAUUGGCAUGUCAGCUUCAUUUUAUUAGUAGAGACCCGACUUUAGGGACUUAGAGGGGUGCUACGGUCUUUAUCGUACCUUCCCGAUAAGUAACCUGACCCCCGAACCCGAUCCGGUUUUUCACAGACCAACUUUUUUCCAAAACAAGGAGUCACACUUAGGGUUUUUCUUUCUUAUUUUGUUUACCCUUUAAAAAUAAAAUAAAAAUAAGUGGCGACUCCAAGUCAUUUUUCAAACAAUAAAUAAAAUCAAUUUUUCAAAUAAAAAUCGAGCUCGUCAUCGAGUGGGAAACGCAUUGAGCAUGAAAUGCGGGGUCCACAGUCACCUAGUCACCUUCCCAUUUAGGACACUUAGAAUUUUUUUUUUUUUUAUGAUAGGUUCCACUUAGAUGUUUUCCAAGCUUAGUUCACUUAGGUUUGAUUUCUUGAUUUUGAUUGCUCGAUUUUGAGUUCAGGUGUGUAUUGGCUUGAUUUUGAUUUUGAUUUUAAGUUCACAAGAUUAAUUUUUUCAUUUUGAAUUACAUAUGUGAUAUCUAUUUAUUCACUUAUUUAUUUAUUUAUUUUCUUGGAUGUGGUUGAUCUUAUUUUUUGUCGUUGUUUAAAUUUGCAUGUUUUCUAAUUUUAUUACUUAUUUACUAUUUGCAUGAUUCCUAUUUGAUUCAUUUUAUUUUAUAUUUGUGUAGGGAUCUUCUCCAAAAAGGAAGACAAGUGAAAGUCCACAGUUGCAGAUGGAGAACAAUUUUUAGGGAAUGCACAAAAGAGAUUUUUUUUGGUUUUGGAAGGUUUAAGAAUCUCUUUGGAACCUUUGAGAUUGUUUUUGGAUAAAAGGCUCUCUUUAGGAAGAUAUCAUAGAGAGUUUGAAAGGGAGGUUAGACUUGCGAUUCUAGAAAAAGAGAAGUACGUGUCUACAAUAGAGGGUUUUGGAGGAGAGCACAGAUUGCAAAAGAAAGAUAAGAGGGUUGACUAAUUUUUUUUUGGAAAGAAGGAAUCACGCGGGUCAGAGAAAAAAAUAAAUUUCAACACAUCUUGAAAAUGAGAUCUAGAGAGGUGAAAAGAGGGAGAGUGGAGUCGAAAAGAGGUGAGUCGCACCAUUGACAGGAACCAGAGUGCAACCCUCAGGUUUUUCAGAUUCAAGGAAACCUUCGGUAAUCGGUGUUUACCUGCAAGUUUAGUUUUAGAAACUCCGGUGACCGAAGCUUGAAAUCAAAAUCAUCAAUUUCAUAAGCAAGCACACAACCAGCAGGCAUUCUGGACAUGUUCCAUGGAGAUUUAGAAUUCUGGAAGGAAAGAAAGGGAAGAAAGGUUGGAAGAAAGAUAUUCUAUAGCAGAGGCCUGGUUUGGCUUACGUUCCAGGAUGUUGUGUCUCCAAUGGAUCAGAUAAUCAUGUAAUAUCAAGGGAGGAGCAGGAUGUUUAUGCUAUUCAGAGCUUUGAGCAUGGUAUUGUUGCCCAAGAUGGUGGUUUCUUUGCAUGGGCGCAGUAUUGUUGCCGAAGAUGGUCGUUCCUUUGCAUGGGAAAUUGUUUUGGUUGAAGUUUCUGGUGGAAAAUGGAACACCCAUGUAGGAGGCAUCCUUUCCAGAACGUUAUUUGUUCGUAAUUUCACUAGUAAAGCUAAAGAUUUAAUUUUGGAAGAACAUGAUGAGAUGGUUAAUUGUUAAAGGAGAUCAUCACCAGAUUUUUUAUGGAUAGAAAGAGAGAGAUGGGUGUCUCCGCCAAGGAAGAGCAGUAGCAAAGGCUGGGGUAUGGGUUUUCUUCUGGUCUUCUUCCCUGAAGACGACUCCAUUAUCAACAACAAGAAGAAUCUCUUAUGUUCUUAUUCUUCCUUCUUGAAAUCCACCAUGAGAACCCAUAGCUUCAACAUCUUCACCAGGGUGCAAUCCACCAUCUCCAUCUGCGCCUUGAUCGUCUUUAUCACCCACCACCAUUGUAGCCUCCUCACCCCACUCCAUUGCCUUUCGGAGAUGGCUAUCACAGAAAUCUACGGCUAGCAAGCUCAGUGCCACACCCAAGACCUCCAAACCCAUCCGCAAUUCCUUGUUCUCCACCACCUGGUUUCGAAAAGAGUGGAGAAGCAAUUCGCAGAAAUCAUCCUCUUUUGUGUUACAAGGCAUGGGCUGUUUGUAUAGAAGAGGCACUAGAGAGAUGAAUGAUCUUGUUGACGGUCAUGUGACUGAGGAUGUUACUUAGGACCAGUUUCGUGUGUUCUUGAGGGCAUUGUAUCGAUCCUCCAUCUUCGCUAGAACAGAUGUUUUAAUCUUUUCUUCAUUGUCGGCAUCGGAACUUGGGCCUAUAGUUCAGGAAGAGACCGAGUCUGUCUCGAGACUAGUUCAUCGCUAUGGCGAGUUGAAUAGCAUGAGUGAGGAGUCCGGAGUGACGAGUUUUGAUGUCACCCAGUUCUUCAAAUUGGGAAAAGAGGAGAAGACAAAGGAAAGGAGCAUACCUGAGAGACGAAGCUCUCUUGGAUGCUUGCAAGGCAUUUGAUGUGGGUUCCUAGGCCAUGAAUGUUAUCGGCUACAUUAGAAUUAUCAUGGCUAACAAGCAGCUUAUGUCCGCCAGUGAUUAUGCAUUCAGCUUCGCCCCCACUUUAACUGGGUUUCAUUCUACUAUGUUGUUACUGCACUAAUUGGUCUGGUGUCAAAUGCUACUGGCUAUUCUGCAUCAAAGUAUGUUCCUUUGUGAGAGUUUCUCUGGUUCUCAAUUGUAGCCAAUAUGUCUAUCACAGGGAUGAAUUGAAGUCUCAGUUGGAUUCUAUCAAAUUUCAAAGCUGAGCAUGAUUCCAAUGGAAUGAUUGUUGCAGUUGCUGGAAUGAUAAUUUAUAGUUGGGUUGUGGAGAUUGAAAAGCAGGCAAAUGUGAAGAUAAUGUCUAAUGUUAAAAACAACUUGACAGAAGAGGAAAUUAGACUUCUGAAGGAUGGGAUAAAGAAGACACCAGUAAAGGAUAUUGAACUUGGUGAAUCUAAAGAAUAGAUUGACACAUGGUAGGCAAAAUAGGCAUGCAUGGGUUGAAGGAGUAUUUUGCUUUCAUAGAGAAAAAAACCCAGCGCACCAAAAGGAGGGAUCUCCACUUUCCAUUAACAAUCACAUGGCUAUAACUAAAAGGAUGCCACGGAUUCUCUUCAUGAGUACGUUUACAUUGAGGGGGUGCACAGUCCACAAUGAAGACAACCUGCAUGUAUAAAUGGAUCUCCAGUAGCACGCACUCCACAGGAGUUUUGGGAGCAACAUAGCCAUUUUGGGAGGAUAAUUCUAGUGGUGCAAAAAUUUUCAAAAAUCUUUUUUUUUUCCUUGCUGCUAGUUUUCAUGCAACCAUUGACCUUUUAGAGUUAAAAUUCGUUACAUCAACUUUAGAAUAUUUUUCAAAAAUUUCCAAAGCUUUUAUGACUUUCCUCGCUCUUUCAACUUGAAUUUAAAGUUACGUUUGAAUUAUAAUGCAAUUCCGGAAUAGAAGAUAUGAAUGAGUCUUUAGAGAGUCCUGUUUUUACCCAGUUCUGGACACCCGAGAUCUUUUUUCAAAAAUAAAAUAUCAUAUGAAUUUUUAAAUUUGAUUCAAUAUUUUUUCUCAAUUCUAGACUUCUUGAAAUUGAUUUUAGACAUAUAAAAUAUUCAAACAUAUGCCCUUUUGAGGGAGAUAUGAUUUUUCAAAGUCAUGCCUACUGUGCAUGCUGGAUUCUGGCCAUCUGACUAGUUUGAGUGUUUUAAAAAUAUUUUUGAGUACUAUCUGACCCUGUAUUCAUUUUUUAUGUUAUAUUGAGACUUAAAACUAUGUGUGAUUUUUUUUUUUAUGAUUUUAUGUGAUAAUUUAUUAUUUUUUAAAAAUUCAUUUAUGCAUAUAACUUUUUCUUAUAUAAUCCGGACUUUGUAGAACCUUUAGGUGUCUUUGCUAUAAUCUGUCCUUUGAAUGAGUGUUUGGCUUUCAAUAUGUUGAUCUAGAUGUGGAGGAGUUGUUUUCUGAAAUUUUUUGUAAUUAAAUUCUACUCUAAGCCAUUUUUUUAGAAAUUAUUUUAUGAUAUUUCCUUUUCUAACUGCAUGCUGAUGGUUUUAUACUUUACUUGAAAUUGUUAUUAUUUUUAGAGUCAUUUGAUUUAUCUUAGCUCAAUUUUUGGUUUUGACACUGUAUAUUAGACAUAAUGGAUAUGUUAUAUAAUUUAUGCUUGUCCUAACCACUCUAGCAUUUUUGGAGGAAUCUUAUAAAAUAUACUUGCUAUCCAAUUACGCUCUUUAUCAUCUAAUUCCAAAAUUCUAUGAAAAUGCAUGUUAUCAUGAGCUAUAUCCAUGUUUGAAUGCUAUCCUUGAUUGCGUUGAUACUUGUUUGAUUAUCCAUAAUAAAACGCAUGCUGAGCGAUAUACUAUUCAAAUUAACUUUGAUUGUCUUAUGAUAGCAAGAAAGAAGUAGUUCAGGUACACACCCUAACUCUCCUUUAUGAUUGUACUUUGAUUUCUUAUUUGACAUGCUAGUAUUGAUAGAAUCUCAAAAUCAUCUUAGCCUACCUAGGUAUCUAUAAUCAACCAAUUAAUUGCCCCAUUUCCCUCAACUAGGUUGGUAGAGACCUCUUUAGGGUUUAGAGGGGUGCUACCUUUUAGAGGUACCUUCCCAAUAGGUAACCUGAUCCUUGGACAUAGACUCGGGUUUUUUAAAGACACGCUUGUCCAAAAACUAUGGAGUCAUUUCUCUAGGGUUUUCUUUCUUGUUUUAUUUUCCCUUUAAAAUAAAAAUAAAAUAAGUGGCAACUCCAACUUUUAAAAAACUAAUUUUUCACCUUAUAAAAGCAAGUCUCACCGAUUGAGUGGGGACGCAUGUGAAAAAUGCGGGUCCAUACCACCAUUACCAUCACAACUCUUUAUAUAUCCAAUUUCGUAAACUUUUAGCUCUAAAACCAUCUCCAACACCCACUUCCACGCACCAUUCAUCCUUUCCAUCACCUCCACAGUCAUCUACCAAUGUCCAUGCGCCCCCAAGUCGCGGCACUCAUAGCAUCUCUGUUAACCAUCUUUUCCACUCCGGUACCAAUAUUUUAGCAUACUAGCAUUUUUUUUGUUACAACAACUAUAUUAGUAUAGAAUAUUCUAGAUAUAGCUUGUUAGAAUAAGUGCUAAGUUGUACAACCUUGUUUGGAAAUGUAAGAUAGAGCACCCUGCUAGAUAUAUUUUUAUACCUUCACACUAUCGGUUUUCAACACAAUGAAAUGAGAAUGUGUUUUUCUCCUUGCAUUCUCUCCUUGUAAUAUGGUAUUAGAGCAUCUUCCUUCUGUUGCUCUUCCAUCUUCUUGCUAAAAUGGCUCGUGGUAAUAACACGAACUGAUUCCAACCACUCACACCUCCUUCUUCCACUAGAACCAUGGCUCAACAUGAUUCUUUUUAUUCCAUAGAUAACACUAGCAACCAUUUUUUCUUGCACAGUGGUGACCAUCUCGGAUUGAUUCUUGUUUCUCAUCUCCUCAUUGGUCACAGCUAUAACACUUAGAGUCGAGCCAUGCUCAUGACUCUCAACGCCAAGCAUAAACUCAGUUUUGUCGAUUAAUCAAUUUUGCAACCACCUCCAAAUGAUCCUUUUGUUGGGGUUUGCUCAAGAUGUAACAAUAUGGUCACUUCUUGGAUUCUCAAUACCAUUUCCAAAGAGAUUGUUGAUAGUCUACUCUACCUUGACAAUGCUCAAGCCGUUUGGGUAGAUCUACAUGAUUAGUUUCAUCAAAGCAAUGCCCCACACAUUUUUUUAGAUCAAGCAAUAGUUGAACGGUUUGUCUCAAGGUUUCCUUGAUAUCAAUACUUUUUAUACCUGCUUGAAAAUACUUUGGGAUGAACUCAAGAAUUUUCAACUUGUUCUUGUUUGUCAAUGUGGCGGCAUGAAAGCAUGGAUGAAUUAUCAAAAACAAGAAUAUGUGAUGCAAUUUUUGAUUGGCUUAAACGAAUCUUAUUUCGGGAUGCGUGGGCAAAUUUUGAUGCUUCAUCCAUUACCCCCUGACGUAAUCACCCGAUUUGUUCUCAUUGUGGGCUCACAAGGCAUACCAUGGACCGUUGCUACAAGUUACAUGGGUACCCACCUGGGUACAAGCCCAAACCCAAGGCCCAAUUAAGCUUCCUUCAAUCCACCAACAUCGAUAAUUUAGAUAGAUCGCCAUUUAUUGUGUGAUACUCUUUUUCUAAAUUUUGAAAUAUGGAAUUUAGUUUCUAUUAAAAUAAUUAAAAUAAAAAAUAUAUCCGUAAAAAAUUUUGAUCUCUUUGUAAAGGUUUGAUGAAAAUUACUAAAGUUAAAAAAUGAGUUGAGAAAGAAACAAGAAAGCUAAAAAAAAGGAGAAAGAUUAUGACUUCUUUUUAAAUAGUUGGUAACUUAUGAGAUUCUUUGAAUUGCAAUGUUAUAUGUUUUAGCUUUAUGAAUUUCUUUUCAAUGUAAUUAUAAAACAUCUUUUUCUAGAUAUGAACAUAUAAUUAAACCAUAUAAAAUUACUACACCUAGCUAGAGCAUUAAUUUGGUACCUAUAAAAAAGUAUCAUCAAUUAGUUGAUAUCACAUGUGCAAUUCAAUUCUCAUUGCUUUGUAUCCAAGUGUUAUUACUUUAUACCUCUUAUAUCAUCUUAUUGCAUUGGACCUUGAUCUUGUUUAUUUAUAAUUUGGUCACAUAUGUUCAUAACCAGGUCCAUAUGUUUGUACUUUCAUUCAAUGACCCAAAUUUGAUCUUUGGUAGGUACAAUUUUGGUACUUAGAUUUUCCAAAAUUCUUACUAUUUGCUUAUAUACAUUAUCUUUUUAUAGUUAUUUAUAUAUUGUAUUAACUUUGUUAGUGUAUUACGACAGGUUGACAAUUUCACUCCAAAAAUUAAUAGUCCGAGAUUAAUUCACUAUCAUGAGUCUUAUGUUAACAUGUUCAACUUGAAGACACAAAAUUUGAAGCCUAGGUAAGUAUGUUUUGAGUUUGAUAUUAGAACAAUACAAUAAUGUUAUACAAUUCAUAAUUUAGUUAUAACUUAAACACCAUUGGUAUUUUUUUGUUGGUUCUUCUGCCUUCCAGUCUCACAAUCUUGCAAAAAGGUGGGCUCAGACUUGUUCCGACUAAAUCCCUUCAAUGUUAAAGUCAGUUCAAAGGACUAAAGAAAAGAAUUUUCAUACCUUCAUUCCUUGUCUUGUUGUUUAUAUAGGCUUGAGUUUUGUAACCUCCACCUAGCCUUUGUAACCCCUCUUUAUUUUAGCAUUUAUCUUGCAAUGUUAACACAUUAAUGACAUUUAACAGUUAGCUAUUUAAGGCCGCUCACUGCUUACCGCUCGGAUAAGCUUGGCCAAAUAAGAUCACUCAAGCCAACCUCGCUCAAAACAGGAUGCCUAUCUAGAAGAGACAUUGCUUGAGGUGCUCACAUUUUUGUCCAUAAAAUUUUUUAAAAUUAUUUAAAAUUCAAGUUUUUCUAAAUUCAGUUUUAUUAAUUUAAUUCAACUAAAAUACCUAAGACUUUGAUAUGAAAAAGAUUUGAAAUAUUCAUUUUAGAGUGAAACAUAAAAAACUUUAAAGAAAAUUUGCAAGAUCUAUUUUUUUUAUCUUAGUUCCACUAUUCUAAAAAAUCAACAUCAAAUUUGAAAAAUCUUAAAAGUACUUUCAAGAAAGAAGGUAAAAAAAUUAAGUUGUUAAGCGUCAAUAUAGUUUUGAGGUGAUGUACUAAGGAAUAUGAUGGAGUAGUCAUGAAGAAGACGUAUAUGUGUUGAUCAGUAUAAAACUUUACAGAAGAAGCAUAUAGGCUAAGUAAAGUCAUGUAUAAAUGGAUUUUUGUUAUUAUUGAUACAUGUGGAUUAUGGAUUUUUGUAGCUUAUUUUCCAAAUACAUGUGGUAUUUUUGCGUGAUUGAAUAUUUUUUAAAUUAUCAUGGCUCAUACCAUUUCUUACCAUGCUUAUCUAAAUCAAUAAUUAAAAUUCAAUAACCAACCGGGUUACCCCUGAACAAGAUGUCAUGGCUUGAUCCCAAUUGGUUAUAUAUAUUGUAAGAACUUAAAUUUUUAGAUAAAAUUAAUUAUGAAAAUAAAAUUAUUAACAAAAUUAAAGAGAGAGGGAGAGAUGACAAUUGACAAGAGUAAAAGAAUGUUUGGUUUUUUAGUUUUUUGUUUAAAGUAAUUUGUUUUCAAAGUUAUUUAUUUUUAUACUUUUUCAUAACUUAUUAUAAAUUUUUUGUUGAAUAGAAAAAGUAAAAAUAUUUGACUUUUUCUAAAUAGAAAAAGUAAUAUAUUAGUUUUUUUUAUUUCAUAUUUAAUAGAAAUAAAAUAUUAUAAAAAAAAUAACCUAUCACUUAACACUAUUAAAUACAAUUUAUAAAGACAAACAAACAAACACCAUAUAAGAGUGCUCUUAAAAAAAAAUUAAAGAAUUUUAUUUUAUUUUAUUUUAUUUUUAUAAGGAGACAAACAUUUCCCUUCAUAUAAAGUAUUUUUAUAAUCAACAUGAUACUUCUUACACAUUUUUUUUUGGUAACCGAAAAAUCCUUCUUACAUGUUCUUUCUACUAAUGAAAAAAAUUAAACACGAAAAAAGAAAAAGGGAUUUUAGUUAUUUAAUUAUUAAAAAUAGUUUAAAAAUUGAAGUUAAAAUAUUUUUAUCACCUCGAAUUUCAUAUUCAAAAGCAUAUAAGGUAAGUCCUCAUUUUUUUCUCUAUAAAAGUUUUUAUAUUUUAUUUAUCCACUUAAGUUUUUAGCAAGUUUAUUUUUUAUUUUAAUUUAAUUUAUAUUGAAUGAGUAAUUUUAAGGCAGAAAUUUAUUUUCUUUUAAUUAUUAAUUAAUUAUAUAAGUAACAAAAUUAAUUAUUCAAGGUUCAUUAAAUGAAAAAUAUUGUAUAUGAAGAAAUAUCCUUGCAACAAGAGCCAGGCAGUCUAUUAAUACAUAUUAUCAUCUAUGCAUUUUUCCUCUACACUUCCAAUUUGAAUUAAUCCCAGGGAAUAUACUCCCAUCCAGUCUAAUUUUUAGAUGAUCGAGAAACAAUCUCAACCAUUAAUAUGGGAAAGGCAGAUUUUUUAGUAUUUAUAACCAUUUGCAUUUUUUUUCAUUAGCCGGAAAAAAAAGUUAAUAAUUCAACACUAAAUACACAAUCAUUUUCCCUUUCAAAGUUUUAGUUAUAAUAUUCCUUUAAAUUAUGUCUGGUUCUUGAAAAGUAUUAAAAAAAGAAAAAUAAAACGUUAAAGAAAAUGAUUUUCUUAUGUUUGAUUUCACAAUGGAAAAUACAAAAGAAAAUUAAAUAAAAUUAAAAUAAUUAGUUGAAAAUUUAUACAUUUUAAAAUUGUAUAAUCUUUAUAUCAAUGAGGAAAUUAAGUAAAAUGAAUUUGAAGAAAUAUAUAAAAAUAAUUUAUUAAUUUUGAAUUUAUUUUUUAUUUUUCUUCGAUUUUUCUUUUCUUUCUCCUUUUUUUUUUUUCUUUCCCUCAUACUUUUUCUCAAAUUUUUCGAGAACCAAACAUAGCCUUGGAAUAUAUAUUUUUUUAAAAUCUUUUUAAUUAUUUUCAAGUAUAAAAUGAUAUAAAAAUUCACUCCUAUCAUCUCAACUUUUUCCACAAUCAAACCUAGAAAAACUUUUAAUUCUAAAUCCUCAUGUCCAUUUCAUUAUCUUUAUUUUCCCUAUGGACUCAAGACAAGGUUCUCCUAUUUCUAAUGGGCUAUAAUAGAAUUUCUAAGAGGCUUAUGUGGCCUGGAAGAAAAAGAACUCUUUGGCCCACUGUGGACCCCGUAUUUCGGCUCAUGCGUUUCCCAUUCAAAGGCGAGCUCGAUUUUGAUUUCGAAAAAUGAUUUUAUAUUGAUUAUUUGAAAAUGACUUGGAGUCGCCACUUAUUUUUGUUUUAUUUUUAAAAAGGGUAAACAAAAUAAGAAAGAAAAACCCUAAGUGUGACUCCUUACUUUGGAAAAGGUGGUCUAUGAAAAACCGGAUCGGGUUCGGGGGUUAGGUUACUUAUUGGGAAGGUACGGUAAAGACCGUAGCACCCCUCUAAGUCCCUAAAGUCGGGUCUCUACUAAUAAAAUGAAGCAAUCAAUGGCAAUUAAUGAGGGAAUCAAUGAAUACUCAGAGUGAUCAUGCACAUGUGGGAAUCUAAACAUGCAUACAGAAAAUGACCCGAGCGGGUGUGGAUGCGUACCUGGGCAGUGAUCCAUAAAACGCUAUCAAGAAGUGAGGUUAGCGCACAAUUAAGGAAUAAUUUCGAGCAUGUCAUAUAGUAAAAUAAAAUCGAUCAUGCAUGGCAAUUAAAUCAAACAAACAAUCAAUCAAUCAUAAGGAAAUUACAUAUGUUGGACCCCCACCAAAGCCCGAUUUAUAUUGCACGAAUUAAUCUCACGAAUCCCAUUAUUUCGGAAUUAUGAAGAUUCAUCAUUCUUACUUGUGUAAAAAUUAAAAGAAAUAGAACAUUAUUUAAAAAACGAAGUGGAAUUAAAACUGUUCGAGAGAAAAUUGGAUUUUUGAGAUUUAUUUGGAAAUUGAAGUCUCGAAAAUUAUUUGAAGACUAGAGUCUUGAGAAUUAAAUUUAAGAAUUGGAAUUUUGGAUAUUAAAUUUGAAAGAAAUUAGAAUUUUGGAAAACGGAAAUUAAGUUCAGAAAUUGGAAUUUUGAAGAAUUGUUUAAAAUGGAAUUUCAAAAUAAAUAACUAAAAUAAUAAUAAUUAAAUAGAUUAAUGUGAAUAUCGGAAUUUUCGGAAUUAGAAAUUAAAAUCGGAAGUUGGAAAUUUUAAGGAAUUGUUUAAAAUUGAAUUUUAGAAUAAAAAAAUUAAAUAAUAAUAAUAAUGAAAAUAAUAAGGAUUAAAUAAAUAAAUAUGGAAAUUGGAAUUCCGAAAAUUAGAAAUUGAAUUUAGAAAUCGGGAUUUUGAAGAAUUACUUAAUGAUGGAAUUUUAAAUAAAUAAAUAAACAAUAAUAAUAAUAAUAAUAAUAACAAAAAUAAUGAUUGAAUAAAUGAAUAUGGAAAUUGGAAUUCCAGAAAUUAGGAAAUUGAGUUCGGAAAACGGGAUUUUGAGGAAUUGCUUGAUGAUAGAAUUUUAAAUAAAUAAAUAAAUAGUAAUAAUAAUAAUAAUAACAAAAAUAAUGAUUGAAUAAAUACAUAUGGAAACUAGAAUUCCGGAAAUUAGGAAAUUGAGUUUGGAAAUCGGGAUUUUGAGGAAUUGCUUGAUGAUAGAAUUUUAAAUAAAUAAAUAAAUAAAUAACAAGAAUAAUGAUUGAAUAAAUAAAUAUGGAAAUUAGAAUUCCGGAAAUUAGGAAAUUGAGUUUGGAAAUCGGGAUUUUGAGGAAUUGCUUGAUGAUAGAAUUUUAAAUAAAUAAAUAAAUAACAAGAAUAAUGAUUGAAUAAAUAAAUAUGGAAAUUAGAAUUCCGGAAAUUAGGAAAUUGAGUUUGGAAAUCGGGAUUUUGAGGAAUUGCUUGAUGAUAGAAUUUUAAAUAAAUAAAUAAAUAACAAGAAUAAUGAUUGAAUAAAUAAAUAUGGAAAUUAGAAUUCCGGAAAUUAGGAAAUUGAGUUUGGAAAUCGGGAUUUUGAGGAAUUGCUUGAUGAUAGAAUUUCAAAUAAAUAAAUAAAAUAAUGAUGAUUUAAAUAAAUUGAUGUGAGAAUUUAAAUUUCGGAAAAUGGAAUUUAAAUUUAGAAAUUAGAAUUUUGAAAGAUUAUUUUAAAGAUUGAAUUUUUUUAAAAAUGAGCAAAUGAAUAAAUAACAAUGAUUAAAUAAAUUAAUGUGAGAAUUAAAAUUUAGGAAUUUGGCAUUUUAAAUUUAAAAAUCGGAAUUUUAAAGAGUUAUUUAAAGGUUGAAUUUUUAAAUAAACAAAUAAUUAAGUAAAUAAAAUAACAAUGAUUAAUUAUCUGAAAACUGAAAUUUUGAGACUUUUAAAUUUGCCAUGUGGGAUAAGGGGCCAUGCACAGGUGCGUAAACAGGCCUAAGGGCAUUGAGAUUACACUAUUGGGUUGGGCCCAAAAUGGAAAGGGGCUCUUAAAGGCUGACCAUUGCAUGCCAAAGUGGCCAAGCCCAGGUGCAUAAACAAGCCCAAAAGUCAAAGAGAAUUCACCAUCGGGCUGGGCCUAAAAUGAAAAGAGGCUCUUAAAGGUUACUCAUGGGCUUGAGCUGCACCAUCCAACUUAGGCCCAACUAAUACCCAUCUUCGUGAAUACACUGCCCUUCCCCCCCAUUUGCAUUUUCUUUUACCCCGCCGGUGUGUCCUUUGCCGUGCCCCUCCAAGACCUGGAUGACCACAACUGCCAUCACCGGCGCCGCCGAGAGCUGCUCCCCCAAGUCCAUGACGUCCCUCACCAUAACAGAUGUUGCGUCCAUGAGGCCACUUUCCGUCGUGUGCAUGGUGGUUGUGAGGUCCUCCGCCAUGGCCGCAGUGUCCAUGAUAGCCAUGAACGCAUGGAGAUGAUGGAAGGCAAUGGGUUUAAUGGCAUGGUGACGGGUUUGCAUAGAUUCUUGAGAGGGUGGUGAGAUUUGAAGGUUUAAAAUAGCCAUACAUGCAUGCAUGUGGGGGAAUACCCUGCACAUUUGGCAAGAGUGUGCUGGGCUAGGAUAUUAAAAAAAAACAACCAGUUCUUCAAAUAUUAAACUAAAAAAAACCUUAAAGUAUGGCAACCCAACAAGCAGAGCAGAAAAUCACAGAGAAUGGGAUAUAAGAGAUAUCAAAAAUGAAACAGAGCGGAAAUCACGGAGAAUGAGAUAUAAGAGAUGUCAAAAAUGAAAACAUACAGGAAAACCGCAAUAACCGCACCUGAAAACCUCCUCUCGACUCGGUGUCUUGGGAUGCCGCUCACUAUUCUCUCCCCAGAAAAAAUCUCAGCCCUAGUUCCCCCCGUCUCUUCCUCUCUUUUCCUCUGUUUUCAAUCCUUCUUAGCAAGCCAUCCUGCUAACCUGUCCCAUCUGUCGCCCAAAAGCCUCCCUCAUCAGUCCUCAGCCGCCUGAAAGCAGCCCACUUGAGAGGCCCUCUGAAAAACAGCAGAAAAAUCCCGCUCCUCGGGGGGUCUACACCCACAUUACGUUGUUAAGCUAUAUGCAAGAUGAUCUCUUGAUUGAGUAUGAGGUCUACCAAACUACUCAUGAAAUGUGGGAAGCUUUAAAGGAAAAGUAUAAUGGACUUUCAGCUACAAAGUUGAGAGAAUUUGUAAUAAAAUUUGAAAUUACAAGAUGCAACCGAACCAUAUAAUGAAACAACAUCUCAAGGAGAUAAAAAGAAUAAUAAGAGAGCUUAAGACAUCUGGACAUGUCUUCAUUGAUGAGCAACAAGUUAAGACUGUCAUCAAAUCUCUACCAAAAAGUUGGGAACACAUGAUGGUGAACAUAACACAUAAUGAGAGAGUCAAUACCUUGACAAUAUAGUUCGCCAUCUUAAAUUGGAAGCCGAGUGACUUAAGGUUGCUAAGCCUAAUGAACAAUCUUAUGUAGUUGAAUCUAAUUCUUGCAAAACUUUUGACUUUAAACAUAAUAGAAAAUUCUUUAAGAAAAAUAAGAAAUCUGAUGAUGCUUUAAAGAAAGGAAAGAUUGGGGCAUGUAAGAAGUUCAAGUGUGCUAAGAGAGAUAAGAGCAAGUUGAAAUGCUACAACUAUGGCAACAAGGGUCACUGUACUUGUGAGUGCAUUGAGCCGAAAUAGGUAUGAUCCUAUUCAAAAAACCUAUAUGCUUAAGUAAUAACCCUCAUUUGUCUUAAUUACCUCCACAAACUCCUUUGCUACACUACGAUCUCCACAUUUACUUGACCUCUUUUACCCUAAUUAUAAUUUAUAAGGAUAAAUAUGUCAAUUUGAUGAUUUAGAUUAAGUUUUAAGUUAAUUUUUAUCAAACAAUCUUAAUACUUAAAGUAAAAAUUAAGUAAUAAAUAUUAAGUCAAUAAUUUAAGUAUAAUUUAAUUUAAAGUCAACUUAAGUCAAUAAGUAAUAAGUAUUAAACUUCACCAAACACCCCUAAAUACAAAAUCAUUUUCCCUUUGAAAGUCUUGAUUAUAUUCACUUAAAAUAUGUUUUUUUUAAAAAAAAUAUUUUCAAUUAUAAAAUGAUAUAAAAAUUCACUCCUAUCAUCUCAACUUUUUCCACAAUCAAAGUUAGAAAAACUUGUAAUUUUAAAUCCUCUAUCCAUUCCAUUCAGCAUCUUCAUCUUUAUUUUCUUUCCCAAUGGACUCAAGACAACUUCCUCCUAUUUCUAAGAGACUAUAAUAGAAUUUUCGACUCUAUUCUCUUACAUGCCUUGAUUUGAAUUGACUAGAUAUGACUUUUUUCCACCUUUAAUUAAGUCUACGUGUAACUCCUCAAAUAUUUUCACAAACAAUAUUAUUUGCUAAUAUAACAACAUACUUGUAGAAAAAAAAAGAUACACAUUACUUAAAAAUAGGAUAAAUUUCUAUCAAUGACUAUCUCAAAUGAAUAGUUCUCUAUCCAAUUUUAAUAACAAUCAAAUUGAACAUAUUCCCAUAUUCAUUAUGUAUAAGAAAAUAGAGUUUUAAUGAUUCAAGGUCAAAUUCUCAAUAGUUUUAUUCACUUUGGUAAAACAAAUUCAAUAGUUUUAAUUGUGGAUUGUUAAUUACAUGGUUGAUAUUGUUUGUUAGUUUAGCUCCUUUCAAAAAGAUAUUUAAUUGUGUAUUUAUUGACUAAUGAGAUUUGUAUGUAAUUAAAUUUGUGCCUUUUUAAACUUUUUCAUUAAAUAAUAUAAAGAUCGAGAACAAACUUCCUCGUGAUUUUUGAAAGCUCAAAUUUUUUGGUUUCAUCAAAGAAGUUAUUUGAGAAUUGAAAUACAACAUAUGAUGAAGUAUCUAGGGCCUACAAUUGGUACAUUAAAUAUCACCUUAUUGGUUAAUUACAUGGAAUGUUGGCCAUCAUGUCUUCAAUAAAAUGGCCCAAGGAAAAGUGCGACGAUCCACCCUCUAUCGUCACUUUUCUACUUAUUUUUUUCAUUUCUUCCCUCUUCUUCCUCACUUCAUUGUCAAUAUUCAUUAGAUUCUUUAAUCCAAUUUCAAUCUCCCGAGCACUUACAACAUAACUAAUAUCCUUAUUAUAAUUCAUUUUAAUCUUUACGGCUAAUCCCAAAUCUUUCACCAUUUGAAACGCAUUGAUUCGUUGUUCUGCAAACAUCGGCCACGUGGCUACAGGAACACCAUAAUAUAUGCUUUCUAACGUAGAAUUCCAUCCGCAAUGAGAUACAAAUCCUCCAACCGCUGAGUGGGCCAAAAUAGCUACUUGUGGAGCCCAUCCGAUCACCUUUCCAAUCCUGGCUGUCCGGUGUAAGAACCCUUCUGGUAGAACUUCCUCCUCAUUUGCAUAAUUGCUUCGAGAUUCUAUUUUACCCUUUGACGAGGGUUGACGAAGGGACCACAGGAAGCGAUGCCCGCUGCGUUCUAGCCCAUGUGCUAUCUCUUUGACCUGAUCCCCACCAAAGCCUCCCAUGCUCCCGAAGCACAGGAAUACCACUGAUGAUGGAGGCUGAUCAUCAAGCCAGCUCAUGACGGCACUAGCAUCUUGUUGACCCCCAACAGAUCCCCCUUGCGUCUUAAGUACUGGUCCAACGGGGUAGACCGGGGGUAUUGUACUGCCAGAAAAUGAUUGAAUAGCAUGUGACUCGAGCUCAACAAGUGUAUUUACCAUAAUACCCUUGACUUGUCUGAACCUCCUUGUGUGAUACAGAAACUUCUCAGCCCCACCGCCUUCCUUGCCAAACAUCAAAGAAGGAAAGACCUUACCUGGAACCCGGGUUGGCAUAACUCGGACCUCCAGCUCAGCAUCCGAGUCCUUGAACUCAUUGAAAUCCAAGCCCUCAUUAUCAUGGAGGAACUGAAGAUGGAACAUGAAGCCAAGAAAAGCGGCGCUGGAAGUGAAGAAGAGAUAUGAAGGCACCUCAAACUCAUCGGCCACAUCAAUCAUGGAGGUGCAGAACAUAUCAAUAACGAACCCACCGAGCCGAACGGAGUUGGAGCGAGUGAUCUCGUGGACGGCGUCUCUGACGAGUGGUAUCUGAGGUUUGAGGAAUUCAGUGAUCCCUGUAGUUCCAGGGCUGACCUCUACAGGAGGAAGUGUGAGGAAACGUAUGGAAUCAGAGUCGGAGGUCAUACUAUCAUUGGACCCAAACGGAAACUUCAUAAUCAAGAUUGUGAUUGACAAUCGGCGGUCUCGGUGAGUCAUCAGCUUUGCAAUCUCCACUGUGGCCGCAAGGUGGCCGAUCCCAGGAGAUGGGAUGAAGACAAGCUCAGUUUGCUUCAUCACUAACCGGCGAUUACUGCAAAGAGAGAAAAAUAUUGGAUGUUUUGAGGGCUUUGUGGUGCGGUGACACAUACUUGUUGCUGAACGGGUUAUAAACGACCUUUCAAUAGUCUUGGCGGGCGAGGAACCGAUGUCAUGGCUUUGCUGGUUCAGUCUAUUUUAUUCUACUU